GGUUAAGCGACUAAGCGUACACGGUGGAUGCCCUGGCAGUCAGAGGCGAUGAAGGGCGUGCUAAUCUGCGAUAAGCGCCGGUAAGGUGAUAUGAACCGUUAUAACCGGCGAUACCCGAAUGGGGAAACCCAGUGUGAUUCGUCACACUAUCAUUAACUGAAUCCAUAGGUUAAUGAGGCGAACCGGGGGAACUGAAACAUCUAAGUACCCCGAGGAAAAGAAAUCAACCGAGAUUCCCCCAGUAGCGGCGAGCGAACGGGGAGGAGCCCAGAGCCUGAAUCAGCAUGUGUGUUAGUGGAAGCGUCUGGAAAGGCGCGCGAUACAGGGUGACAGCCCCGUACACAAAAGCGCAUGUGCUGUGAGCUCGAUGAGUAGGGCGGGACACGUGGUAUCCUGUCUGAAUAUGGGGGGACCAUCCUCCAAGGCUAAAUACUCCUGACUGACCGAUAGUGAACCAGUACCGUGAGGGAAAGGCGAAAAGAACCCCGGCGAGGGGAGUGAAAAAGAACCUGAAACCGUGUACGUACAAGCAGUGGGAGCACAGGUUUACCUGUGUGACUGCGUACCUUUUGUAUAAUGGGUCAGCGACUUAUAUUCUGUAGCAAGGUUAACCGAAUAGGGGAGCCGCAGGGAAACCGAGUCUUAAUUGGGCGUUAAGUUGCAGGGUAUAGACCCGAAACCCGGUGAUCUAGCCAUGGGCAGGUUGAAGGUUGGGUAACACUAACUGGAGGACCGAACCGACUAAUGUUGAAAAAUUAGCGGAUGACCUGUGGCUGGGGGUGAAAGGCCAAUCAAACCGGGAGAUAGCUGGUUCUCCCCGAAAGCUAUUUAGGUAGCGCCUCGUGAAUUCAUCUCCGGGGGUAGAGCACUGUUUCGGCUAGGGGGCCAUCCCGGCUUACCAACCCGAUGCAAACUGCGAAUACCGGAGAAUGUUAUCACGGGAGACACACGGCGGGUGCUAACGUCCGUCGUGAAGAGGGAAACAACCCAGACCGCCAGCUAAGGUCCCAAAGUCAUGGUUAAGUGGGAAACGAUGUGGGAAGGCCCAGACAGCCAGGAUGUUGGCUUAGAAGCAGCCAUCAUUUAAAGAAAGCGUAAUAGCUCACUGGUCGAGUCGGCCUGCGCGGAAGAUGUAACGGGGCUAAACCAUGCACCGAAGCUGCGGCAGCGACGCUGAUGCGUUGUUGGGUAGGGGAGCGUUCUGUAAGCCUGUGAAGGUGUGUCGUGAGGCAUGCUGGAGGUAUCAGAAGUGCGAAUGCUGACAUAAGUAACGAUAAAGCGGGUGAAAAGCCCGCUCGCCGGAAGACCAAGGGUUCCUGUCCAACGUUAAUCGGGGCAGGGUGAGUCGACCCCUAAGGCGAGGCCGAAAGGCGUAGUCGAUGGGAAACGGGUUAAUAUUCCCGUACUUGGUGUUACUGCGAAGGGGGGACGGAGAAGGCUAUGUUGGCCGGGCGACGGUUGUCCCGGUUUAAGCGUGUAGGUGUGUGUUCCAGGUAAAUCCGGUUCACUUUAACACUGAGGCGUGAUGACGAGGCACUACGGUGCUGAAGCAACAAAUGCCCUGCUUCCAGGAAAAGCCUCUAAGCAUCAGGUAACAUCAAAUCGUACCCCAAACCGACACAGGUGGUCAGGUAGAGAAUACCAAGGCGCUUGAGAGAACUCGGGUGAAGGAACUAGGCAAAAUGGUGCCGUAACUUCGGGAGAAGGCACGCUGACACGUAGGUGAAGUGAUUUACUCACGGAGCUGAAGUCAGUCGAAGAUACCAGCUGGCUGCAACUGUUUAUUAAAAACACAGCACUGUGCAAACACGAAAGUGGACGUAUACGGUGUGACGCCUGCCCGGUGCCGGAAGGUUAAUUGAUGGGGUCAGCGCAAGCGAAGCUCCUGAUCGAAGCCCCGGUAAACGGCGGCCGUAACUAUAACGGUCCUAAGGUAGCGAAAUUCCUUGUCGGGUAAGUUCCGACCUGCACGAAUGGCGUAAUGAUGGCCAGGCUGUCUCCACCCGAGACUCAGUGAAAUUGAACUCGCUGUGAAGAUGCAGUGUACCCGCGGCAAGACGGAAAGACCCCGUGAACCUUUACUAUAGCUUGACACUGAACAUUGAGCCUUGAUGUGUAGGAUAGGUGGGAGGCUUUGAAGUGUGGACGCCAGUCUGCAUGGAGCCGACCUUGAAAUACCACCCUUUAAUGUUUGAUGUUCUAACGUGGACCCGUAAUCCGGGUUGCGGACAGUGUCUGGUGGGUAGUUUGACUGGGGCGGUCUCCUCCUAAAGAGUAACGGAGGAGCACGAAGGUUGGCUAAUCCUGGUCGGACAUCAGGAGGUUAGUGCAAUGGCAUAAGCCAGCUUGACUGCGAGCGUGACGGCGCGAGCAGGUGCGAAAGCAGGUCAUAGUGAUCCGGUGGUUCUGAAUGGAAGGGCCAUCGCUCAACGGAUAAAAGGUACUCCGGGGAUAACAGGCUGAUACCGCCCAAGAGUUCAUAUCGACGGCGGUGUUUGGCACCUCGAUGUCGGCUCAUCACAUCCUGGGGCUGAAGUAGGUCCCAAGGGUAUGGCUGUUCGCCAUUUAAAGUGGUACGCGAGCUGGGUUUAGAACGUCGUGAGACAGUUCGGUCCCUAUCUGCCGUGGGCGCUGGAGAACUGAGGGGGGCUGCUCCUAGUACGAGAGGACCGGAGUGGACGCAUCACUGGUGUUCGGGUUGUCAUGCCAAUGGCACUGCCCGGUAGCUAAAUGCGGAAGAGAUAAGUGCUGAAAGCAUCUAAGCACGAAACUUGCCCCGAGAUGAGUUCUCCCUGAGACUUAGAGUCUCCUGAAGGAACGUUGAAGACGACGACGUUGAUAGGCCGGGUGUGUAAGCGCAGCGAUGCGUUGAGCUAACCGGUACUAAUGAACCGUGAGGCUUAACCUU
Molecule: ribosomal RNA, 2908 nt
Filed under: Salmonella enterica
Lineage: Bacteria; Pseudomonadati; Pseudomonadota; Gammaproteobacteria; Enterobacterales; Enterobacteriaceae
Description: 23S ribosomal RNA
Rfam family: Bacterial large subunit ribosomal RNA
Source: RNAcentral